Molecule: ribosomal RNA, 382 nt
Filed under: Ischnura capreola
Lineage: Eukaryota; Metazoa; Arthropoda; Insecta; Odonata; Coenagrionidae
Description: partial large subunit ribosomal RNA
Rfam family: Archaeal large subunit ribosomal RNA (bases 1-184)
Source: RNAcentral
GUCCUAUUGUGUUGUUUAUUAGGUCUGGCCUGCCCAGUGAUGUUUUUAACGGCCGCGGUAUAUUGACCGUGCAAAGGUAGCAUAAUCAUUAGUCUUUUAAUAGAAGGCUGGAAUGAAAGGUUUAACGAGAAAUUAACUGUCUCAAUUACAAAUUUGAAUUUAUCUUUUGAGUCAAAAGACUCAAAUUUAAUUGGAGGACGAGAAGACCCUAUAGAGCUUAACAAUUUUUUUUCUAUAUUUAUUUAGUAUAAAAUGAUUUAUUUAUAUUGAUAAAAUUGUUUUGUUGGGGUGACAAUAAAUAUAUAUAUAACUUUUAUCAUAUUAAUUACAUUAAUUUAUGAUUUUUUGGAUCCAGAAUUUUUGAUCAUUAGAUUAAGUUACC